RNAcentral lists this non-coding RNA (140 nucleotides) under Caballeronia peredens. RNAcentral describes it as "Burkholderia peredens Glycine sequence". It matches the Rfam family "Glycine riboswitch aptamer". From Rfam's summary of the family: This family represents the bacterial glycine riboswitch. The record is from RNAcentral. Lineage: Bacteria; Pseudomonadati; Pseudomonadota; Betaproteobacteria; Burkholderiales; Burkholderiaceae.
UCCUCGCACUCUGGAGAGCGGCAGCGGCUUCGUCGGAAACGAUCGAGCCAGUUGCCCACCGAAGGGGCGCGCGACGAACCGCCGGCACGAACGUGCACGGUUCGCGCAAUCUCUCAGGUACCGAGGACAGAGGGGUCACG